RNAcentral lists this unclassified non-coding RNA (412 nucleotides) under soil metagenome. Its description in RNAcentral is "partial contains 5.8S ribosomal RNA, internal transcribed spacer 2, and large subunit ribosomal RNA". The stretch from base 2 to 119 matches the Rfam family "5.8S ribosomal RNA", at positions 37 to 154 of the family's 154-position model. The record is from RNAcentral.
GUGAAGAACGCAGCGAAAUGCGAUAAGUAAUGUGAAUUGCAGAAUUCAGUGAAUCAUCGAAUCUUUGAACGCACCUUGCGCUCUUUGGUAUUCCGAAGAGCAUGCCUGUUUGAGUGUCAUGAAAAUAUCAACCUUGACUUGGGUUUUGUGCUCUAGUCUCGGCUUGGAAUUGGGUGCUUGCUGCUUUUACGAGCGGCUCACCUUAAAUGUAUUAGCUGGAUCUGUCUUUGAGACUUGGUUUGACGUGGCGUAAUAAGUAUUUCGCUAAGGACAUUCUUCGGAGUGGCCUCGUUUCUAGGACGCUUGUCCGCUUUCCAAUACAAGUUCCACCUCGUGGACAUGACUUUUUAUUAUCUGGCCUCAAAUCAGGUAGGACUACCCGCUGAACUUAAGCAUAUCAAUAAGCGGAGGA